UGUUAAAAGUUUUAUUUAUUUCUACCAUUAAAAAUUAAUGUAGCUGACAGAAUAACUAAAUAAUUACAUUGUGAUAUGCCAUAUGUACCUCAUAUUGACAUACAAUAACCUGUUUUUAAUAGUAAAAUUAGAUGAAAUUUUUAACA
Gossypium hirsutum (cotton) is the source of this 146-nucleotide non-coding RNA. Lineage: Eukaryota; Viridiplantae; Streptophyta; Magnoliopsida; Malvales; Malvaceae. The record is from Rfam.